CUAUUUUUAAGUAGUGAGCAUACUUUCAUCUCAUUUUUAGCUGCAAUGCUGACACAUCCCUUCAGUCCUCUUAUGACUCCAGCUCCUGGUCUGGGAUUCUGGAUGAGUUUCGCUGGAUCAUGGACUGGAGACGCUGAGAGCAGGCUGCACCUUCUGUGUCUGCCUGGCACCAUGUGUAUGUUAUAUAAGAAAUGGCUUCCUGGACUCAAACCCUCCCUCCACCCUCGCUGGCUUGGUGACCAGGACCAAGUCACUUGACUUCUCAGUUACUGGGUGGCCUGAGCUGCAAGAAAGGGAUAAUCACUGGAGUGGUUGGAGUGUCAAAUGGGCUGAUUCAGACAGUAUCUCGCUAAGUUGCCCAAGGUGGACUAGAACUUGUGAUCCUCCUGCCUCAGCAUCCUGAGAAACUGGGAUUUCAGGUAUGUAUCACUGCACCUGGCCACAGCUGCUAUGUGGCAGCUGUUAUGCUUGUGGGACCUCUGGGGUCCUGACAAGGGUGGCUUCUUUGCCAAUACCCUGGGCAUCCUAUGGGGGGGUCAAGCUGGGCCCACUCCUGGAGUCUGGUGGGCUCCCCUGCCCUGCACUGUGCCCCUGCUCACUCAGAAUGACGGUGCUCAGGGUGACACCUGAGAUGCUGAAGCCACACAGGAAGCGGAAGACCAGGUAGACUGGAAGGCUGGGGCUGAAGGCUGUGCUUGAGCCAGAAGUGGCCAGCAGGAGGAAGCUGAGGGUCAGGACGGGCUUGCGGCCAAACCUGCAGCAAGGGACGGAGCUCAUCUGACCAUGGAGCAGGGGUCAAAGGAGCAGCCCCACAGCUGUGUUGAAGCACAUGGGGACCUCGGGUCUGGGGGACCAGAAGCUGCAGCUAUGAGGGCUGGGAUAGGUGGUGGCCUGGACAGGUGGACCUCCCCAUACCCCCUCGCUGCAUCCAGCAGAGAUGAGCCUCACCUGUCAGAUAUCUUCCCCAGCGUCAGGCCCCCAAUCAGGAUGCCUGCCAUGAAGAUCGACUGUGCCAUCUCCUUGAGCUUGGCGGAGCCGCACACCAGGUCCCACUGCAGAGGUCCAGAUGGGCACUGGUCAGAACCCUCCUUCCAGGCCCAGAUCUCCUCUGCCUGCUUGCGUCCUAUGGCCCCUGCCCAUGCUGUGUGACACAGUGUCCCUGGGGCCUGUGUGGCCUCUAGCUCUCUGGCCUGACCUGUCUUCUAUGCUGUCCAUGUCCUGGCAGUUCCCUGCUCCCCUCUUCUCUUCCUCACACCUUGACCUUACCCCCUCCUCCAAGGGACAUCACUGCUGUCUCCCACCGUGCCCACUGUCAGUCUCUGCCACAGUCCUUUCUGUGUUGCCUCCACCUCUCAUCACCCCACAAAGCAAGGUCUCCUAGGAAGGAGCUGUGCCCCACAUCUCACCGCUCAGAGACUCUAGAAUGCAUGCACCAUGCUCACCACACCAGCACAAGGUCCUGUCACUCUGGCAGCAGGACCCUCUGUGUGCUACAUGGCUUGUCUGCAAUGUUGUGGACAGUGCUGUCCUCCCCCUACCCUAAUGUCCCCUCUCUUUGCCCUACUCCCUUCUCUCUGCACAGCCACCAGCACCCCUAGGGCCCCUGGUCCCCCUCUGUCCUCCUGUCCCUGUGACACUGAUGACUGCUGAUACCCAAGAUGCCGCCCCAUUUCUCUAGCAAGCUGACUUAGCUGUUGCUUGACAACUCACUUAGGUGGCAUCACUGACAUGGCUCAGACUCAGAGGGACGUACCCCCUGUCCUUGCAGAUCCCAAGUGAAGUGACUGGUGCCCUCUCUUUUUAAAUAAAUAUUUAAAAACGU
Molecule: long non-coding RNA, 1822 nt
Organism: Cavia porcellus (domestic guinea pig)
Lineage: Eukaryota; Metazoa; Chordata; Mammalia; Rodentia; Caviidae
Exons: 3
Source: RefSeq, a predicted model, not a curated record